RNAcentral lists this ribosomal RNA (497 nucleotides) under uncultured bacterium. Its description in RNAcentral is "partial 16S ribosomal RNA". It matches the Rfam family "Bacterial small subunit ribosomal RNA", at positions 28 to 507 of the family's 1533-position model. The record is from RNAcentral.
GAUGAACGCUGGCGGCGUGCCUAAUACAUGCAAGUCGAGCGAACGGACGAGAAGCUUGCUUCUCUGAUGUUAGCGGCGGACGGGUGAGUAACACGUGGAUAACCUACCUAUAAGACUGGGAUAACUUCGGGAAACCGGAGCUAAUACCGGAUAAUAUUUUGAACCGCAUGGUUCAAAAGUGAAAGACGGUCUUGCUGUCACUUAUAGAUGGAUCCGCGCUGCAUUAGCUAGUUGGUAAGGUAACGGCUUACUAAGGCAACGAUGCAUAGCCGACCUGAGAGGGUGAUCGGCCACACUGGAACUUAGACACGGUCCAGACUCCUACGGGAGGGAGCAGUAGGGAAUCUUACGCAAUGGGCGGAAGCCUGACGCAGCAACGCCGCGUGAGUGAUGAAGGUCUUCGGAUCGUAAAACUCUGUUAUUAGGGAUGAACAUAUGUGUAAGUAACUGUGCACAUAUUGACGGUACCUAAUCAGAAAGCCACGGCUAACUACGUG